GAUGAACGCUAGCUACAGGCUUAACACAUGCAAGUCGAGGGGAAACGACAUCGAAAGCUUGCUUUUGAUGGGCGUCGACCGGCGCACGGGUGAGUAACGCGUAUCCAACCUGUCCACCACUUGGGGAUAACCUUGCGAAAGUAAGACUAAUACCCAAUGACGUCUCUAGAAGACAUCUGAAAGAGAUUAAAGAUUUAUCGGUGAUGGAUGGGGAUGCGUCUGAUUAGCUUGUUGGCGGGGUAACGGCCCACCAAGGCUACGAUCAGUAGGGGUUCUGAGAGGAAGGUCCCCCACAUUGGAACUGAGACACGGUCCAAACUCCUACGGGAGGCAGCAGUGAGGAAUAUUGGUCAAUGGACGAGAGUCUGAACCAGCCAAGUAGCGUGCAAGAUGACGGCCCUAUGGGUUGUAAACUGCGUUUAUAAGGGAAUAAAGUGAGCCUCGUGAGGCUUUUUGCAUGUACCUUAUGAAUAAGGACCGGCUAAUUCCGUGCCAGCCGCCGCGGUAA
RNAcentral lists this ribosomal RNA (508 nucleotides) under uncultured bacterium. Its description in RNAcentral is "partial 16S ribosomal RNA". It matches the Rfam family "Bacterial small subunit ribosomal RNA", at positions 28 to 523 of the family's 1533-position model. The record is from RNAcentral.